This 753-nucleotide long non-coding RNA is filed under the name Rattus norvegicus (Norway rat). RNAcentral's name for it is "long non-coding RNA NONRATT026263". The record is from RNAcentral. Lineage: Eukaryota; Metazoa; Chordata; Mammalia; Rodentia; Muridae.
AUCAAGGAACUGCUAUGUAUGGCUUUCUAUACUCCAUGAGAGGACAGUUGUGAGCCUGGGGACAGAUCCAGUGACCCGGGAUUGCAGCUCCUACCCGUGUCCCUCUGGGGACCAUCACCGUGGUCUGAAGGAAAGACAGGGAACAAAAAUGGAACAGAGACUGAAGGAAAGGCCAUCCACAGACUGCCCCACCUGGGGAUCCAUCCCAUCUGCAGAUGCCAAACCCCCACACUAUUGCUGAUGCCAAGAAGCGCUUGCUGACAGGAGCCUGCUAUGACUGUUCCCGGAGAGACUGUACCAGCACCUGACCAAUACAGAUGCAGCACUCACAAUAGCCAAGCGAUGCAUCCAAACUAGGAGUCUAUCACUGCGAGAAGACAAAUGGGGCCCAUGUACACAGCGGGAUCUUUUUCAGCCAUAAAGAAAAACGAAAUCAUGGCACUCGCAGGAAAAUCGAUGGAACUGGAGACCAUUAUGUGACAUGAACUCCUAGUGGAUCCAUUUUUCAGGGAAGAAAAUAUAAAGUUCACAGUGGUGAGGCUACUUUCCCCGAGUGAGCCAGCUGGUGAAGGGGGACCUUUGGUCCUUACCUUUCAGUUCCUCAAGCCUGAUGAGUUCUUACAAGCAGGCAAAAUGUGCACUUCUCUGUCCCACCCCCACAAUUUCUGCCACGCUAUUUUUAGACGAUCGAUUAUUGUGUCUUAGAAUAAAGUUCAACCUCAGCUUCCUGUGCCCUUAGAGGAAGUCUCCUCC